Molecule: long non-coding RNA, 229 nt
Filed under: Elaeis guineensis (African oil palm)
Lineage: Eukaryota; Viridiplantae; Streptophyta; Magnoliopsida; Arecales; Arecaceae
Description: long non-coding RNA (EGUI_LNC071468)
Source: RNAcentral
AAUGGAUAGGCUUCACCUGCCAGGUCUCUACUCCGAACUUCUACCAAACUUCGUCAAUGACCGAGCUUCUCCAGUAGCGGAACAGCUACAAUAAGAAGUCUCCAUCCGAGCUUCCAUAGCAACCGAUCUUCGUUCAAGCUUCUACAAUAAGCGGACUCCUUUCAGACUCCUACAAAAGCCAAACUCCAUCCGAACUUCUACAGCAGAAUUAAAUCUUGAACUCCUCCAA